UGCAAGUCGAACGGAAGUCGUUGUAAUGAAAUAGAAACGGACAGAGAACUUGUUCGAAGAAAGUGGAAGUAGACUUACAACAAUGGCUUUAGUGGCGGACUGGUGAGUAACGCGUAAGGAACCUGCCUUCUAGAGGGGAAUAACAAUGAGAAAUCAUUGCUAAUACCGCAUAUGCCGAGAGAAUCACAUGGUACAAUCGGGAAAAGAGUAAUCUGCUAGAAGAUGGCCUUGCGUCUGAUUAGAUAGUUGGUGGGGUAACGGCCUACCAAGUCGACGAUCAGUAGCCGGACUGAGAGGUUGAACGGCCACAUUGGGACUGAGAUACGGCCCAGACUCCUACGGGAGGCAGCAGUCGGGAAUAUUGCGCAAUGGAGGAAACUCUGACGCAGUGACGCCGCGUAUAGGAAGAAGGUUUUCGGAUUGUAAACUAUUGUCGUUAGGGAAGAGAAAGGACAGUACCUAAGGAGGAAGCUCCGGCUAACUACGUGCCAGCAGCCGCGGUAAUACGUAGGGAGCGAGCGUUAUCCGGAAUUAUUGGGUGUAAAGGGUGCGUAGACGGGAAGAUAAGUUAGUUGUGAAAUCCCUCGGCUUAACUGAGGAACUGCAACUAAAACUGUUUUUCUUGAGUGCAGGAGAGGUAAGUGGAAUUCCUAGUGUAGCGGUGAAAUGCGUAGAUAUUAGGAGGAACACCAGUGGCGAAGGCGACUUACUGGACUGUAACUGAC
This 725-nucleotide ribosomal RNA is filed under the name uncultured bacterium. RNAcentral's name for it is "bacterial SSU rRNA". It matches the Rfam family "Bacterial small subunit ribosomal RNA", at positions 56 to 744 of the family's 1533-position model. The record is from RNAcentral.